Molecule: ribosomal RNA, 492 nt
Filed under: uncultured bacterium
Lineage: Bacteria
Description: partial 16S ribosomal RNA
Rfam family: Bacterial small subunit ribosomal RNA
Source: RNAcentral
AGUGAACGCUGGCGGUAGGCCUAACACAUGCAAGUCGAACGGCAGCACAGUAAGAGCUUGCUCUUACGGGUGGCGAGUGGCGGACGGGUGAGGAAUACAUCGGAAUCUACUUUUUCGUGGGGGAUAACGUAGGGAAACUUACGCUAAUACCGCAUACGACCUACGGGUGAAAGCAGGGGAUCUUCGGACCUUGCGCGCCUCAAUGAGCCGAUGGCGGCUUGGCUAGUUGGCGGGGUAAAGGCCCACCAAGGCGACGCUCCGUAGCUGGGCUGAGAGGGCGGUCAGCCAGACUGGAGCUGAGACACGGUCCAGACUCCUACGGGAGGCAGCAGUGGGGAAUAUUGGACAAUGGGGGCAAGCCUGAUCCAGCCAUACCGCGUGGGUGAAGAAGGCCUUCGGGUUGUAAAGCCCUUUUGUUGGGAAAGAAAAGCAGCAGGUUAAUACCCCGCUGUUCUGACGGUACCCAAAGAAUAAGCACCGGCUAACUUCGUG